This 488-nucleotide small RNA is filed under the name Pongo abelii (Sumatran orangutan). RNAcentral's name for it is "processed transcript". The record is from RNAcentral. Lineage: Eukaryota; Metazoa; Chordata; Mammalia; Primates; Hominidae.
UGGUGGAGGGAUGUCCAGGCCGCUCAGGAGCCGCGCCCCUCUCCGGCCAGGCCCAGAGAGCACGGGGGCCCCCACAGGAGCCAGAGGGGAGGCCGCCAGGGCAGUUGUGAGGGGGCCUGUGGGGGAACCUGUGAGACAGCCUGUGAAGAGACUCACUAGGGCUUCUGUGCGGGGGCCCAGGAACGUGCCCCAGGUGGAACCCACAGGGCAUCUGGGAAGAGACCCACGAAGGCGGUGCAGGGGCCGGGAAGAGGCCCCGGAGGGGCCCUCACGGGGAGCUGCGGUAGGGAGCCUGACGCAGGCCCGUGCAGCCCCCAGGGAGGUGCGGGAGACGCGGCGGCGGCACGAGCGGCGCCUGGUGGAGGUGGACAGCAGCCGGCAGCAGGAGUACGACUUCAAGAUGGCACAGGCGCUGGAGGAGCUGCGGAGCCAGCACGACGAGCAAGUGCGGCUCUACAAGCUGGAGCUGGAGCAGACCUACCAGGCCA